AGUGAACGCUGGCGGCAGGCCUAAUACAUGCAAGUCGAACGGCAGCACAGUAAGAUCUCGCCCUUACGGGUGGCGAGUGGCGGACGGGUGAGGCAUAGAUCGGAAUCUACUUUUUCGUGGGUGAUUACGUAGGGAAACUGAUGCUAAUAGCGCAUAUGACCUACGGGUGAGAGCAGGGGAUCAUCGGACCUUGCGUGAUUGAAUGAGCCGAUGCCGGAUUAGCUAGUUGGCAGGGUAACGGCCCACCAAGGCGACGAUCCGUAGCUGAUCUGAGAGGGUGAUCAGCCACACUGGAACUGAGACACGGUCCAGACUCCUACGGGAGGCAGCAGUAGGGAAUCUUGCGCAAUGGGCGAAAGCCUGAUGCAGCCACGCCGCGUGAGUGAUGAAGGUCUUCGGAUUGUAAAGCCCUUUUAUUAGGGAAGAACAGCUGUGUAAUUAUCCCUCGAUGUUCUGACGGUACCCAAUCAGAAAGCCCCGGCUAACUUCGUG
RNAcentral lists this ribosomal RNA (492 nucleotides) under uncultured bacterium. RNAcentral's name for it is "partial 16S ribosomal RNA". It matches the Rfam family "Bacterial small subunit ribosomal RNA", at positions 29 to 507 of the family's 1533-position model. The record is from RNAcentral.